CAGCCGCCGCGGGAAUACGAAGGGUGCAAGCGUUACUCGGAAUUACUGGGCGUAAAGCGCGCGUAGGCGGCUUUUUAAGUCAGAGGUGAAAGCCCGGGGCUCAACCCCGGAAUUGCCUUUGAAACUGGAAAGCUAGAAUCUUGGAGAGGUCAGUGGAAUUCCGAGUGUAGAGGUGAAAUUCGUAGAUAUUCGGUAGAACACCAGUGGCGAAGGCGACUGACUGGACAAGUAUUGACGCUGAGGUGCGAAAGCGUGGGGAGCAAACAGGAUUAGAUACCCCUGUAGUCCCUGUCUCUUAUAC
This 301-nucleotide ribosomal RNA is filed under the name uncultured bacterium. RNAcentral's name for it is "partial 16S ribosomal RNA". It matches the Rfam family "Bacterial small subunit ribosomal RNA", at positions 509 to 807 of the family's 1533-position model. The record is from RNAcentral.